This 700-nucleotide ribosomal RNA is filed under the name Paenibacillus sp. RNAcentral's name for it is "bacterial SSU rRNA". It matches the Rfam family "Bacterial small subunit ribosomal RNA", at positions 102 to 789 of the family's 1533-position model. Lineage: Bacteria; Bacillati; Bacillota; Bacilli; Caryophanales; Paenibacillaceae. The record is from RNAcentral.
ACGGGUGAGUAACACGUAGGCAACCUACCCUCUAGACUGGGAUAACUACCGGAAACGGUAGCUAAUACCGGAUAAUUCCCUGACCCCCCUGGGCUAGGGAUGAAAGGCGGAGCAAUCUGCUGCUAGAGGAUGGGCCUGCGGCGCAUUAGCUAGUUGGUGGGGUAACGGCCUACCAAGGCGACGAUGCGUAGCCGACCUGAGAGGGUGAACGGCCACACUGGGACUGAGACACGGCCCAGACUCCUACGGGAGGCAGCAGUAGGGAAUCUUCCGCAAUGGGCGAAAGCCUGACGGAGCAACGCCGCGUGAGUGAUGAAGGUUUUCGGAUCGUAAAGCUCUGUUGCCAGGGAAGAACGUCCGGUAGAGUAACUGCUGCCGGAGUGACGGUACCUGAGAAGAAAGCCCCGGCUAACUACGUGCCAGCAGCCGCGGUAAUACGUAGGGGGCAAGCGUUGUCCGGAAUUAUUGGGCGUAAAGCGCGCGCAGGCGGCUAUUUAAGUCUGGUGUUUAAACCUUGGGCUCAACCUGGGGUCGCACUGGAAACUGGGUGGCUUGAGUACAGAAGAGGAAAGUGGAAUUCCACGUGUAGCGGUGAAAUGCGUAGAGAUGUGGAGGAACACCAGUGGCGAAGGCGACUUUCUGGGCUGUAACUGACGCUGAGGCGCGAAAGCGUGGGGAGCAAACAGGAUUAGAUACCCUG